Molecule: ribosomal RNA, 731 nt
Filed under: uncultured bacterium
Lineage: Bacteria
Description: bacterial SSU rRNA
Rfam family: Bacterial small subunit ribosomal RNA
Source: RNAcentral
AACAGGAUUAGAUACCCUGGUAGUCCAUACCGUAAACGAUGAAUGCUAAGUGUUGGAGGGUUUCCGCCCUUCAGUGCUGCAGCUAACGCAUUAAGCAUUCCGCCUGGGGAGUACGGCCGCAAGGCUGAAACUCAAAGGAAUUGACGGGGGCCCGCACAAGCGGUGGAGCAUGUGGUUUAAUUCGAAGCUACGCGAAGAACCUUACCAGGUCUUGACAUACUAUGCAAAUCUAAGAGAUUAGACGUUCCCUUCGGGGACAUGGAUACAGGUGGUGCAUGGUUGUCGUCAGCUCGUGUCGUGAGAUGUUGGGUUAAGUCCCGCAACGAGCGCAACCCUUAUUAUCAGUUGCCAGCAUUAAGUUGGGCACUCUGGUGAGACUGCCGGUGACAAACCGGAGGAAGGUGGGGAUGACGUCAAAUCAUCAUGCCCCUUAUGACCUGGGCUACACACGUGCUACAAUGGAUGGUACAACGAGUUGCGAACUCGCGAGAGUAAGCUAAUCUCUUAAAGCCAUUCUCAGUUCGGAUUGUAGGCUGCAACUCGCCUACAUGAAGUCGGAAUCGCUAGUAAUCGCGGAUCAGCAUGCCGCGGUGAAUACGUUCCCGGGCCUUGUACACACCGCCCGUCACACCAUGAGAGUUUGUAACACCCAAAGUCGGUGGGGUAACCUUUUAGGAACCAGCCGCCUAAGGUGGGACAGAUGAUUAGGGUGAAGUCGUAACAAGGUAACC